RNAcentral lists this ribosomal RNA (253 nucleotides) under uncultured bacterium. Its description in RNAcentral is "partial 16S ribosomal RNA". It matches the Rfam family "Bacterial small subunit ribosomal RNA", at positions 524 to 776 of the family's 1533-position model. The record is from RNAcentral.
UACGGGGGGGGCGAGCGUUGUCCGAAGUUACUGGGCGUAAAGCGCGUGUAGGCGGGUUGUUAAGUCCGCUGUGAAAGCCCGGUGCUCGACGCCGGAGGGUCGGUGGAUACUGGCAGUCUUGAAGUGGCUAGGGGGAAAUGGAAUUACCGGUGUAGCGGUGAAAUGCGUAGAUAUCGGUAGGAACACCAGUGGCGAAGGCGGUUUCCUGGAGCCCACUUGACGCUGAGACGCGAAAGCUGGGGGAGCAAACGGG